UACGUAGGGUGCGAGCGUUGUCCGGAAUUAUUGGGCGUAAAGGGCUCGUAGGCGGUUUGUCGCGUCGGGAGUGAAAACCAUGGGCUUAACUCAUGGCUUGCUUUCGAUACGGGCAGACUAGAGGUAUGCAGGGGAGAACGGAAUUCCUGGUGUAGCGGUGAAAUGCGCAGAUAUCAGGAGGAACACCGAUGGCGAAGGCAGCUCGCUGGGACGGUACUGACGCUGAGGCGCGAAAGCGUGGGGAGCAAACAGG
This 253-nucleotide ribosomal RNA is filed under the name uncultured bacterium. Its description in RNAcentral is "partial 16S ribosomal RNA". It matches the Rfam family "Bacterial small subunit ribosomal RNA", at positions 524 to 776 of the family's 1533-position model. The record is from RNAcentral.